This 301-nucleotide ribosomal RNA is filed under the name uncultured bacterium. Its description in RNAcentral is "partial 16S ribosomal RNA". It matches the Rfam family "Bacterial small subunit ribosomal RNA", at positions 509 to 807 of the family's 1533-position model. The record is from RNAcentral.
CAGUAGCCGCGGGAAUACGUAGGUGGCAAGCGUUGUCCGGAAUUAUUGGGCGUAAAGGGCUCGCAGGCGGUUUCUUAAGUCUGAUGUGAAAGCCCCCGGCUCGACCGGGGAGGGUCAUUGGAAACUGGGAAACUUGAGUGCAGAAGAGGAGAGUGGAAUUCCACGUGUAGCGGUGAAAUGCGUAGAGAUGUGGAGGAACACCAGUGGCGAAGGCGACUCUCUGGUCUGUAACUGACGCUGAGGAGCGAAAGCGUGGGGAGCGAACAGGAUUAGAGACCCCCGUAGUCCCUGUCUCUUAUAC